Molecule: ribosomal RNA, 624 nt
Filed under: uncultured Bacteroidota bacterium
Lineage: Bacteria; Pseudomonadati; Bacteroidota
Description: bacterial SSU rRNA
Rfam family: Bacterial small subunit ribosomal RNA
Source: RNAcentral
CCUGGGGAGUAUGCCCGCAAGGGUGAAACUCAAAGGAAUUGACGGGGGCCCGCACAAGCGGUGGAGCAUGUGGUUUAAUUCGAUGAUACGCGAGGAACCUUACCUGGGUUUGAAAUGGAGAGGAAUGUUGAGGAAACUCAACCGCCGGCAACGGUCUCUUUGUAGGUGCUGCAUGGUUGUCGUCAGCUCGUGCCGUGAGGUGUCGGCUUAAGUGCCAUAACGAGCGCAACCCUUAUCAUUAGUUGCAAACAGGUAAUGCUGUGGACUCUAGUGAGACUGCCUCCGUAAGGAGUGAGGAAGGCGGGGAUGACGUCAAAUCAGCACGGCCCUUACGUCCGGGGCGACACACGUGUUACAAUGGGGAGUACAACGGGCAGCUACCGCGCGAGCGGAUGCUAAUCUCUAAAAACUCUUCUCAGUUCGGAUCGGAGUCUGCAACUCGACUCCGUGAAGCUGGAUUCGCUAGUAAUCGCGCAUCAGCCACGGCGCGGUGAAUACGUUCCCGGGCCUUGUACACACCGCCCGUCAAGCCAUGGGAGCUGGGGGGACCUGAAGUACGUAACCGCAAGGAGCGUCCUAGGGUAAAACCGGUGACUGGGGCUAAGUCGUAACAAGGUAGCCGUA